Molecule: non-coding RNA, 23 nt
Filed under: Rattus norvegicus (Norway rat)
Lineage: Eukaryota; Metazoa; Chordata; Mammalia; Rodentia; Muridae
Source: RNAcentral
GAAUUUCAACAGAGAUGGCAAGG